Long non-coding RNA from Lontra canadensis (Northern American river otter), 629 nucleotides. RefSeq lists it as uncharacterized. The record is from RefSeq and is a predicted model, not a curated record. Lineage: Eukaryota; Metazoa; Chordata; Mammalia; Carnivora; Mustelidae. The transcript has 3 exons.
ACUCAGAGGAGGAGACAGUCCCUCUGUUUAACUGGGGUACACGAAUAGGACAACUCUGAGCAAGGGGGAAGUUGAAGGCAGCUAGGAUACACAACACCAGGAAACAAAACCAAGGAAUAAGGCUGUCCAGAAUGGACAGGCUUCAGACACCAUAUUUGCUUCCAUCUCAGCUGGCUCAUCAUGAUCAUAAGAUCAAUGCUUCUGUUCCAAGAAUCAUAUGAAAAAAUCCAUUGUAAGAAGAGGGACCAUUCUUCUUGUUUUGAUACCAAGGAGACUCCUUAGUAAACAUUCUGCUGGCUCAAUUCCACCUCAGAGUCUACCUCCUAGGAAACCCAACCCAUGACGACUAUUGGAUAACACCUUUAAGUACUAAAAUAAGUACAGCUGUUAACCCAGCUUCUAUAUGCUACAAAAUUAUCUUUCAAAAAUGAAGAAAAACAAGGAUGUUUUCAGAUGGACAAAAGCUAAGAAUCGGUGUGUUGUGCUAUAAGAAAUACUUAAGGUAAUUCUUAAGUGGGAGGUGAAUGACAUCGGAUGAUAACUUGGAUUCAAUGGAAGAAAUUAAGAGCACAGGAAAUGGUAAAUUUAGGGGUAAACAUGAGAAAAUACACACAUUUUCUUUUCUUUUU